This is a long non-coding RNA of Leptidea sinapis, 431 nucleotides long. RefSeq lists it as uncharacterized. The transcript has 3 exons. NCBI's taxonomy places the organism in Eukaryota, Metazoa, Arthropoda, Insecta, Lepidoptera, Pieridae. The record is from RefSeq and is a predicted model, not a curated record.
AGAAGGUUCCGAACAUAAGUAGUGAAUUGGUGGUGGAAUAUUACUCCAACAUUUUGUCGCCGAGUACUUGAAGCUACCCUUGAAUGCUGCUGUUUUGUAAUUUGAAGCGAAGCAAGACUUGAAGCACAAGAAGUGAAUACGAAGAUGAUUUGGUAUUCGUCUUAGCUCGGGUGUGAUCGGCGUGCGGUGUGAGUGCGGGCGAGAGCGGGAGCAAGGUGGGCGUCGGGCAGGAAGUCAGGGAAGAACUAUCAAUCUUAUUGCUACACAAGCGAUGGAAACAGGCCAGUUGAAAGAUGACAUGGAAAAUUACAUUUAUUAUACAACGAUGGGAGGUAAAGCAAAGAUUAAAAUUGAUGUGGUACCACACAAGUUUGACUGUCAACCUAAUCGUAAAAGACAAGGCACUACAACGGUUCUUAGACCAGCUGCAG